This 1376-nucleotide unclassified non-coding RNA is filed under the name Bombus terrestris (buff-tailed bumblebee). RNAcentral describes it as "misc RNA ENSBTSG00005020026.1". Lineage: Eukaryota; Metazoa; Arthropoda; Insecta; Hymenoptera; Apidae. The record is from RNAcentral.
CGGCGCGCUGUCUGACGUUAUAAUAAAUCCGCUGUUUCGCGGCUCUCUAACGAGCGUUCUUGUCGGACGGUUGUCGAUUAUAUCAAUCGUUCCGAGCCAAAAGUCUAUACUGGACGGUUUCCUUCCGCGAAACUCCGCGCUUCGCGCCAUUAAGCCCCGAGACCGUUGCCAAUUCCCGAGAUUCCGUACGAACGUUCGUUACUUGACGCUUUUAAAACACCGGAAAAACAGCUGUCAUGCGAAUCCUCCUGUUCGGACGUACACCGGUCCAUUUGUCUAGUCGAUUCAGCUGUCUACGCCUUUAUCCAAUAUCGAACACUCGUUGUCGGUAAUCCUUCCAAUCGAAGAUCGCCACCUAAUCCAUCAUGGCGGACGAAGCAGGAAUCACGAAAAAAAAUUGUUUGGAGAAAAGAGCAACGAUGUUGGAAAAGUUCGAAGAAGAAGAUGUUUGGUCCAGCAGCAACAUUUUUUCCCUCUGAUCUUCCACACCACUGGGACAAUGUUACAAGCGUGGAUUGCAACUUAUAAGGAAAGCUCGAAGAAAGUCGAAGGCUUACACGAAGCUUCGCGCGAAAUCAAGAUCUUGGUUUUAAGGUGGGGACACCGAGGUAAUGGCGUGUGCAUUAUUCUGAUAAAUCGCCUCGACUGGCGUCAAACCUGACUCUGGCCUGACGGCAACCUUGGUCAAUCGUAUCUACUUCUACGCAAGUAGAAUCGAUCCUGUGCGGGAUAUUUCAAAGGAGACUUCUAAGGAAAAAUACCACUACGUACAUGUGCUACGAAUUGCAUCGGUUGUAUCAGAACUCUUUCUAUCAGUUUAGGAGAUGCUUUAUAAUUUGUCUUGAAAUUAAAAAAUUAAAGACUGUGAAGAUAAAGAAUUUAUCAAGUAAAAAAUUCUAUAACAUAAUUGGAUAAUUAUGGUGAUAAUUUGUAAUGUAUAAUGCGAUAUAUUUUUUAAUAUAAUAUAUAAAAUAAAUUACACUUUGAUACCGUCAUAAUUUUAUGAUUAAAAAUUCUAUGAUUUGUAAAAAAUUCUAUAACAUAAUGGGAUAAUUAUGGUGAUAAUUUGUAAUGUACAAUGCGAUAUAUUUUUUAGCAUAAUAUAUAAAAUCAAUUACAGUUUGACACGCUCAUAAUUGUAUGAUUUGUAAUAAAUUCUACAACAUAAUUGGAUAAUUAUGGUGAUAAUUUGUAAUGUAUAAUGCGAUAUAUUUUUUAGUAUAAUAUAUAAAAUCAAUUACAGUUUGACACGCUCAUAAUUGUAUGAUUUGUAAUAAAUUCUACAACAUAAUUGGAUAAUUAUGGUGAUAAUUUGUAAUGUAUAAUGCGAUAUAUUUUUUAAUACAAUAUAUAAAAUCAAUUACAAUUUGACACGC